RNAcentral lists this ribosomal RNA (706 nucleotides) under uncultured organism. RNAcentral describes it as "SSU rRNA". It matches the Rfam family "Bacterial small subunit ribosomal RNA", at positions 44 to 744 of the family's 1533-position model. The record is from RNAcentral.
AGGCUUAACACAUGCAAGUCGAGGGGCAGCACAGGUAGCAAUACCGGGUGGCGACCGGCGCACGGGUGAGUAACGCGUAUGCAACUUGCCUAUCAGAGGGGGGUAACCCGGCGAAAGUCGGACUAAUACCGCAUGAAGCAGGGGUCCCGCAUGGGGAUAUUUGCUAAAGAUUCAUCGCUGAUAGAUAGGCAUGCGUUCCAUUAGGCAGUUGGCGGGGUAACGGCCCACCAAACCGACGAUGGAUAGGGGUUCUGAGAGGAAGGUCCCCCACAUUGGUACUGAGACACGGACCAAACUCCUACGGGAGGCAGCAGUGAGGAAUAUUGGUCAAUGGGCGUAAGCCUGAACCAGCCAAGUCGCGUGAGGGAUGAAGGUUCUAUGGAUCGUAAACCUCUUUUAUAAGGGAAUAAAGUGCGGGACGUGUCCUGUUUUGUAUGUACCUUAUGAAUAAGGAUCGGCUAACUCCGUGCCAGCAGCCGCGGUAAUACGGAGGAUCCGAGCGUUAUCCGGAUUUAUUGGGUUUAAAGGGUGCGUAGGCGGCCUUUUAAGUCAGCGGUGAAAGUCUGUGGCUCAACCAUAGAAUUGCCGUUGAAACUGGGGGGCUUGAGUAUGUUUGAGGCAUGCGGAAUGCGUGGUGUAGCGGUGAAAUGCUUAUAUAUCACGCAGAACCCCGAUUGCGAAGGCAGCCUGCCAAGCCAUGACUGAC